RNAcentral lists this ribosomal RNA (292 nucleotides) under uncultured bacterium. RNAcentral describes it as "partial 16S ribosomal RNA". It matches the Rfam family "Bacterial small subunit ribosomal RNA", at positions 505 to 796 of the family's 1533-position model. The record is from RNAcentral.
GUGCCAGCAGCCGCGGUAAUACGGAGGGUGCAAGCGUUAGUCGGAAUUACUGGGCGUAAAGGGCGCGUAGGCGGGGAUGUAAGUCAGAUGUGAAAAACCGAAGCUCAACUUCGGCCCCGCAUCUGAAACUGCGUUUCUAGAGGAAGAGCGGAGAAAACGGAAUUCCACGUGUAGCGGUGAAAUGCGUAGAUAUGUGGAAGAACACCUGUGGCGAAAGCGGUUUUCUAGCUUAUUCCUGACGCUGAGGCGCGAAAGCAAGGGGAGCAAACAGGAUUAGAUACCCUGGUAGGCC